GACGAACGCUGGCGGCGUGCUUAACACAUGCAAGUCGAACGGAAAGGCCCUGCUUUUGUGGGGUGCUCGAGUGGCGAACGGGUGAGUAACACGUGAGUAACCUGCCCUUGACUUUGGGAUAACUUCAGGAAACUGGGGCUAAUACCGGAUAGGAGCUCCUGCUGCAUGGUGGGGGUUGGAAAGUUUCGGCGGUUGGGGAUGGACUCGCGGCUUAUCAGCUUGUUGGUGGGGUAGUGGCUUACCAAGGCUUUGACGGGUAGCCGGCCUGAGAGGGUGACCGGCGACAUUGGGACUGAGAUACGGCCCAGACUCCUACGGGAGGCAGCAGUGGGGAAUAUUGCACAAUGGGCGGAAGCCUGAUGCAGCAACGCCGCGUGCGGGUUGACGGCCUUCGGGUUGUAAACCGCUUUCGCCUGUGACGAAGCGUGAGUGACGGUAAUGGGUAAAGAAGCACCGGCUAACUACGCG
Molecule: ribosomal RNA, 468 nt
Filed under: uncultured bacterium
Lineage: Bacteria
Description: partial 16S ribosomal RNA
Rfam family: Bacterial small subunit ribosomal RNA
Source: RNAcentral